This 601-nucleotide ribosomal RNA is filed under the name uncultured Flectobacillus sp. Its description in RNAcentral is "bacterial SSU rRNA". It matches the Rfam family "Bacterial small subunit ribosomal RNA", at positions 94 to 691 of the family's 1533-position model. Lineage: Bacteria; Pseudomonadati; Bacteroidota; Cytophagia; Cytophagales; Flectobacillaceae. The record is from RNAcentral.
AGUGGCGAACGGGUGAGUAAUACAUCGGAACGUGCCCGAUCGUGGGGGAUAACGGAGCGAAAGCUUUGCUAAUACCGCAUACGAUCUACGGAUGAAAGCAGGGGACCGCAAGGCCUUGCGCGAACGGAGCGGCCGAUGGCAGAUUAGGUAGUUGGUGGGAUAAAAGCUUACCAAGCCGACGAUCUGUAGCUGGUCUGAGAGGACGACCAGCCACACUGGGACUGAGACACGGCCCAGACUCCUACGGGAGGCAGCAGUGGGGAAUUUUGGACAAUGGGCGAAAGCCUGAUCCAGCCAUGCCGCGUGCAGGAUGAAGGCCUUCGGGUUGUAAACUGCUUUUGUACGGAACGAAAAGACUCCUUCUAAUAAAGGGAGUCCAUGACGGUACCGUAAGAAUAAGCACCGGCUAACUACGUGCCAGCAGCCGCGGUAAUACGUAGGGUGCGAGCGUUAAUCGGAAUUACUGGGCGUAAAGCGUGCGCAGGCGGUUAUGUAAGACAGAUGUGAAAUCCCCGGGCUCAACCUGGGAACUGCAUUUGUGACUGCAUAGCUAGAGUACGGUAGAGGGGGAUGGAAUUCCGCGUGUAGCAGUGAAAUGCGU